This is a non-coding RNA of Parasteatoda tepidariorum (common house spider), 1970 nucleotides long. The record is from RefSeq and is a predicted model, not a curated record. NCBI's taxonomy places the organism in Eukaryota, Metazoa, Arthropoda, Arachnida, Araneae, Theridiidae.
CCAUAACUUUAAUUUGAAAUGUCCAUUUUUUUUUAUUUAUGUUUAUUUUAUCCUUUUACUUAUAUUUAUUUUAUCUUUUUAUUAUAAUCAAAAAUAAACGGGGUUAAUUAUGUGAAAAUUAUAGCCCUUUCAUUUCACUCGGGAAAGUUUUGCAAGAAAUACCUUACUCAAAUCGCAAGAAAUAUCAUAUAUCUUUAUUUAUUUUCUCAAUGUAAAAACUAAACUAGACUUUCAUGAAUAAAGAUAUUUUUGAUGGUUUUAAGAUAUAGGUUAUAACCUAUUACAUCUUCCUUUAAAAUGCUGAAUUUCUAUUAAUUGCGUAAUAUACUUUUUUCAAUGUUAAAGAAAUAAUAAUUUUGAAAUCACUUUAUUUCCACGUCUUAUCACUAUAUUUCCCCAAGUCCUUCAAAUAUGUAAUAUACGUAACUCAAGUAAAUAAAUUUAAAUAACCCAACUUACAUUUUUCAUUAACCCGUGAAAAAUUUCUUUAACUCGGAUGAAUUUUCGUAUAAACAAUAUCAGACUGAAUCGUCCACAAAUUCAUGAUAUUUAUUUACUCUUUAAACUAAAUUUAUUUUAAAAUAAUUCAAAUAUUUUGAGUUAUUGGUUCUAUUUUGAACAAAUUUUUUUUGAACUAUUGUUUCUAAAGACUCGUGUAUUGUAUGAAUCGUAUAUACUCCUGUAUUCUCAUUUAAAUUAGCAUAAAAAUCAGUUGCAUAGAAAACAAUUUCUCACUUGCUUAGAUAGAUAUAUCAAAUGAGCAAAGAGAGACAGGUACAAAUUUGUACUUCUUGUAUAUUAAACUCUUAUAACUUCUAAACUAUUGGUCCAGUCAUCUCGUUAUUACUCUUAUUCUAUCAUACGUGGGAAAAAAAGCAUCAGGAACAAUGCCUUAUUUAUCUGGAUAAUAGAAAUUCAAUUCUAACCUUCAAACCACACCCAUUUCCCUUCAAAACGGGAGAAAUGUAAGAGAGUUUUCAUGCAUAAUUUAUGAAGACAUAACAAAGUUUUCCAUGGGGAAAAAAAUCUGGGGUAUUUAUUUUUUCGAAGAAAUAGUAUAAUUUUACUGGAUUACAUUAAAAAUUACAAUGGUCAAUAAUUUCAAAGUGUAUUAUAUUUUAUAGCAUUUUAAGCAUUUUUAUUUGGCAUAAAUGUUUUGCUAUUUUUCCCGUCAUAUGCUUUUAUGACUGUAGUUAAUUUGCUUAUUAUUUUGUAGCUAUUGUUUUGCAAUUAUUUGUUUAUCUUAAAUGAUAUAUAUUGUUAUUAAUAUCAUCAUGACAGCUAAUUUAUAUUUCUAAAGACAUUAUUUCAUUCAUACGUUUAUAUAUUUCAGUUUCUCACCCUUGAAGAGAAAAGUCGAUUUAUUGAGAUUUUGUGGUAUUUUCUCUAAUUUUUAUUUUUCCCCUUUCGUAAAAUCUUUAUUAUACUUAUGACACCAUAAUUAUUUUGUAUUUGCUAUAAAAUAACUUUUCCUUUACAUUUUUGUUUAUUUAUAAAAUAUGCAUUACAUGUUUAUUUUUUAAUGCUAAUUUCAUCACGUAAAAAUGCUACGUGAUUAUUUCCUUAACUAGCAAGAUUCAGAAGUAAGAAAUACUGAUAAGAAGAAAUUCCAGCAUCAUAGAAAUAUGUUUUAUUUGAUGUUGAGCUGUUAUAUGGUGCCUACAAGAAAGAUUUGAAUCCUUUAAAAUUCAUGGUAACCAAGAGAUCUUGACUGUUUCUUUUAGUUUGUGAUUUGAAGAAAGUUCCUGAAAUCUGCAUUUAUCGGAAUGUGAAGAUUACCCAGAAAACCACAGAACUUCGAACUAAUUUAUUAUGUCAUUAAUUCAAAUACGUAGUCAAAUAUCAACAGACAUGUUAAAAUAAUAUGUCGAAGGAAAAUAAUCACAAUUUUUUUAUAAAAUACCGUUUUUUAUAACUCAAAAAACAUAUCAAAUUUAUUUUUGUAUCAAAUAAAUCUAUACUUAUUUAUA